Spea bombifrons (plains spadefoot toad) is the source of this 1475-nucleotide long non-coding RNA. RefSeq lists it as uncharacterized. The transcript has 4 exons. Lineage: Eukaryota; Metazoa; Chordata; Amphibia; Anura; Pelobatidae. The record is from RefSeq and is a predicted model, not a curated record.
GUGUGUGUAGUGAGGGGGGUGGAAGGGUGAAUACCAGAAAUAAACAUUGCAGCCAACAAUGAGAAUAGAAAUCUCUAAAAAUGAGCAAAAUAUUAACCCAGAACCUUGUUAGGAAAUUAAGGACAAGACAAGUAGAUAUGCGAAGCGUCAAAAUUGUUGGCAGGAGACUCUGCACACGCGGUGCUUGUAAACAUUCAGACACGAGAUUUUUCCCAAUCAAAAUCCACUUCCACUUUUUUGAAAAUCUUCCAAAAAAUAGUAAAAAAAAAAAAAAGAGCGAGGGAGAAGGAAAGAAAAAAAAAAAAAAGAAGGGAUUUCCUCUGCCAGCUGCGAUCGAGGACAAAGUUUUGAAAGAAGAGUUUUGGAUAAGAUUUCUUUUUUUUAAGAAAAAAAAAGGAGCUGUUGCAGCCACAGAUCAGACUCCCUCCUUAGAACAGAGUCUCCCUGGGCUUCAAGGAGCAGCUAAUACGGCAGGACAGAAUCAGCACACACAGACCUUCCGCAUGCAGUGCUUUUAACAAGCCACGAAGCUCUGAUCUUUUUGCUAGACCCUAGAACCUAAAUGUUACUUCUUUUAAAAACUUCACUCAGAAAAGAAGAGUUUCAUUGAAAAGAACAAUGUUGCCUUUUAUUUUUUUCCUAUUUCCACGGUCUGUAUCCAUUCAGGGACAGUCAAAAAGGGAUCACUUCUGAAUGAUAUGUGUGUCCAGUCUCACCCUCGUCACCCAAGACAUAUUUUACUCGUAUCAAGAAUCUCUCUGCCUCGUUCUCUUUUUCUCAAGAGGAAAAAAAAGUAUUUUUUUCCCCUCCUCGCUCAGAAAUCAAAGAUUAAAAGAAAGUGUUAAAUAUCUGAUCCUCGACAGUUUCUUUUUUUUUUUUUCUCCCCUUCAUCUUUUACAAUGAACGCCUGUGAAGCUACAUCCGUGUGCAGGACUUUGUCUUGGGGGCACAGACAGCUUUGAAGAAGCUUAUUAAGGAAUGUGCAGAAAAUCUGUUGGAAAUAAGACACUGCCGGAAUCCUACACAGAGCUGGCUGCUGGCAGAAAUCCCCGUCUAUUAGAACCGGCGCACUUUUAACAGCAGCACCCCCUACGAUCUUGAAGUUUAUUAUGAAACAAUGAACUUCCCGUCAUAAUCUACCAACAUUCUCAGCCAGGUUAAAGAAAAAUCCUUCAGAUCAGAUAAGCAAGAAUCAAAUUAGCGGAAUAGCAGAUCUGAAAGAUGGAAGAAGUGACUUCACAACCGCAUAUGGAGAACCCUGUUUGAUAAAAACGGACUUUUGCAUCUAUUCUCUAAGGUGUCAGAGAUUAUGGAAACAGCAGGCUUUACCUUGGCUUCCUUCUUCCACUAUGAAGUCCAAAAGCAAGUUGUUUUGGAUAUUUAACGUGUUAUCUUUUUGGCAUCUCUUGCAUGUGAGCUCCUACCUUUAUUUUGCACGGCUUGUGUUGAUAUACAAAAUGUUUUACUGGGUCACU